RNAcentral lists this ribosomal RNA (392 nucleotides) under uncultured bacterium. Its description in RNAcentral is "bacterial SSU rRNA". It matches the Rfam family "Bacterial small subunit ribosomal RNA", at positions 28 to 416 of the family's 1533-position model. The record is from RNAcentral.
GAUUAACGCUAGCGGCAGGCCUAAUACAUGCAAGUCGAGGGGCAGCAGGGUGUAGCAAUACAUCGCUGGCGACCGGCGCACGGGUGCGUAACACGUAUGCAACCUACCUUUAACUGGGGAAUAGCCCUCCGAAAGGAGGAUUAACACCGCAUAACAUCACGAGACGGCAUCGCCUUGUGAUCAAACCUCCGGGGGUUAAAGAUGGGCAUGCGUCCGAUUAGCUAGUUGGCGGGGUAACGGCCCACCAAGGCGACGAUCGGUAGGGGGUCUGAGAGGAUGAUCCCCCACACUGGUACUGAGACACGGACCAGACUCCUACGGGAGGCAGCAGUGGGAAUAUUGGACAAUGGGCGCAAGCCUGAUCCAGCCACGCCGCGUGAGUGAUGAAGGCC